Molecule: long non-coding RNA, 494 nt
Organism: Hydra vulgaris (swiftwater hydra)
Lineage: Eukaryota; Metazoa; Cnidaria; Hydrozoa; Anthoathecata; Hydridae
Source: RefSeq, a predicted model, not a curated record
ACGACCGUGGAAGAAGACGUAAACUUCUUAUCAAAUGCUUCACCGCGAUGCUCGGAGAUGAGACCUCAAGAACUUGUUACUAACUGAUGUACCCACAACAUAUAGGUUUACAACAGAAAACAUAUUAGCUUAUUUAUAUAUCUUUUAAAUUUCUCCAUCGACUAAAAUUUUCGAAAAAAAAAAUUUGCAUUGUGAAGUUUCCUGUUCCUCAAUGAUAUAUCUGUUGGUGUUGGUUUGAAAAAAGUUACAAGUAAAAUGAGUUGGGUCCAAGCAUAGUUGGUUUGCGUUGAUUUAUGAUUAACAACAGAAAAUGCAUUACUUCAACAAAUAUUCCCUGGAGGAUGCCGGUUAAAAAGAAAAACUGAAGAAACUUUAUAUAUGGUGGCGAUAUGAGAGAACUGCUGUGGCAGAAUAUUACCAUCGUAGAACAGUUUUGUAUCAAAUCAUUGUAUAAUAUUAGUUUUUUGUUGCUUAAAAAUGUUAUGAAAUUCAAA